CCCUUAGAUGUUCUGGGCCGCACGCGUGCUACACUGAGUGGAUCAGCGGGUCAGGUUGCGCGAAAGCGUUUCCUAAUCUUUAAAUCCGCUCGUGAUGGGGAUUGACGGUUGCAAUUUUCUGUCAUGAACGAGGAAUACCUUGUAAGCGCGGGUCAUCAUCCCGCGCUGAAUACGUCCCUGCCCUUUGUACACACCGCCCGUGGCUCCUACCGAUUGAGUGGUCCGGUGAGGCUUUGGGAUCUGAGCGGAAAGAGCGUUUCGCUGUUUCUGCUCGGAAAACUCAGUCGAACCUUAUCAUUUAGAGGAAGGAGAAGUCGUAACA
This 322-nucleotide ribosomal RNA is filed under the name uncultured eukaryote. RNAcentral's name for it is "partial 18S ribosomal RNA". It matches the Rfam family "Eukaryotic small subunit ribosomal RNA", at positions 1470 to 1796 of the family's 1831-position model. The record is from RNAcentral.